CUAGGGAGGCAGCAGUGGGGAAUAUUGGACAAUGGGCGAAAGCCUGAUCCAGCCAUGCCGCGUGUGUGAAGAAGGCCUUCGGGUUGUAAAGCACUUUCAGUGGGGAAGAAAGCCUUGGGGCUAAUACCCUCGAGGAAGGACAUCACCCACAGAAGAAGCACCGGCUAACUCCGUGCCAGCAGCCGCGGUAAUACGGAGGGUGCGAGCGUUAAUCGGAAUUACUGGGCGUAAAGCGCGCGUAGGCGGUCUGAUAAGCCGGUUGUGAAAGCCCCGGGCUCAACCUGGGAACGGCAUCCGGAACUGUCAGGCUAGAGUGCAGGAGAGGAAGGUAGAAUUCCCGGUGUAGCGGUGAAAUGCGUAGAGAUCGGGAGGAAUACCAGUGGCGAAGGCGGCCUUCUGGACUGACACUGACGCUGAGGUGCGAAAGCGUGGGUAGCAAACAGGAUUAGAUACCCGGGUAGUC
RNAcentral lists this ribosomal RNA (463 nucleotides) under Vreelandella stevensii. RNAcentral describes it as "partial 16S ribosomal RNA". It matches the Rfam family "Bacterial small subunit ribosomal RNA", at positions 339 to 795 of the family's 1533-position model. Lineage: Bacteria; Pseudomonadati; Pseudomonadota; Gammaproteobacteria; Oceanospirillales; Halomonadaceae. The record is from RNAcentral.